ACGGGUGAGUAACGCGUGGGAAUCUACCCAUCUCUACGGAAUAACGCAUGGAAACGUGUGCUAAUACCGUAUACGUCCUUCGGGAGAAAGAUUUAUCGGAGAUGGAUGAGCCCGCGUUGGAUUAGCUAGUUGGUGGGGUAAAGGCCUACCAAGGCGACGAUCCAUAGCUGGUCUGAGAGGAUGAUCAGCCACACUGGGACUGAGACACGGCCCAGACUCCCACGGGAGGCAGCAGUGGGGAAUAUUGGACAAUGGGCGCAAGCCUGAUCCAGCCAUGCCGCGUGAGUGAUGAAGGCCCUAGGGUUGUAAAGCUCUUUCACCGGUGAAGAUAAUGACGGUAACCGGAGAAGAAGCCCCGGCUAACUUCGUGCCAGCAGCCGCGGUAAUACGAAGGGGGCUAGCGUUGUUCGGAUUUACUGGGCGUAAAGCGCACGUAGGCGGACUAUUAAGUCAGGGGUGAAAUCCCGGGGCUCAACCCCGGAACUGCCUUUGAUACUGGUAGUCUUGAGUUCGAGAGAGGUGAGUGGAAUUCCGAGUGUAGAGGUGAAAUUCGUAGA
This 557-nucleotide ribosomal RNA is filed under the name uncultured bacterium. RNAcentral describes it as "bacterial SSU rRNA". It matches the Rfam family "Bacterial small subunit ribosomal RNA", at positions 102 to 694 of the family's 1533-position model. The record is from RNAcentral.